UUUGUCUUUAUAAGAAGAGGAAGAUCGACCAGAGCUCUCUCUCUCUUCUCUAGGCAUGUGCUCUGAGAAAAGGUCAUCUGAGGACAAAGUACCCGUCUGCAAGCCAGGAAGAGAGCCCUUGCCAGAAACUAAACCCCGCUGGAAACUUGAUUUUGCGCUUUCCAGCCUCUAGAACUAAUAUGUGAAAAACAUUUAAAUCAGAAAGUAAAUGACAGGAUGAUUUGCAAGACACAGGGAUGUAAAAUUAAAAAGCCUCUCGAGCUCCAAAGAAGCAGAUUCUGCUUUGCUCUAUUUGUGAAAGACAACUGGAUGAGUAAAGAUUACUACUUGCAAGGAGACUAGCAAUUUAUCCAAAAUUGGAAACAGAGAAAACGGCAUCUUCUUUUCACUCAUUCUGACUCAAAAUGGGUGUAGCUCAUCAGAGUACAUCGUUACAUUUUCGGGACUUUUGCUACCUGGCUCACAUCACUUUGGUAGCUUGAACUCUGCCAUGAUUGGGAAUAUUUACACCACAAAAAUGGGCUAAUCUCCUAGGAAUGGAUUCUAGGACGGCAUCAGCAU
Molecule: long non-coding RNA, 561 nt
Filed under: Homo sapiens (human)
Lineage: Eukaryota; Metazoa; Chordata; Mammalia; Primates; Hominidae
Description: long intergenic non-protein coding RNA 1339
Source: RNAcentral